UAGUUGAUCCUGGCUCAGAUUGAACGCUGGCGGCAGGCCUAACACAUGCAAGUCGAACGGUAACAGGAAUCAGCUUGCUGAUUCGCUGACGAGUGGCGGACGGGUGAGUAAUGUCUGGGAAACUGCCUGAUGGAGGGGGAUAACUACUGGAAACGGUAGCUAAUACCGCAUAACGUCGCAAGACCAAAGAGGGGGACCUUCGGGCCUCUUGCCAUCGGAUGUACCCAGAUGGGAUUAGCUAGUAGGUGGGGUAACGGCUCACCUAGGCGACGAUCCCUAGCUGGUCUGAGAGGAUGACCAGCCACACUGGAACUGAGACACGGUCCAGACUCCUACGGGAGGCAGCAGUGGGGAAUAUUGCACAAUGGACGCAAGUCUGAUGGAGCAACGCCGCGUGAGUGAAGAAGGGUUUCGGCUCGUAAAGCUCUGUUGGUAGUGAAGAAAGAUAGAGGUAGUAACUGGCCUUUAUUUGACGGUAAUUACUUAGAAAGUCACGGCUAACUACGUGCCAGCAGCCGCGGUAAUACGUAGGUGGCAAGCGUUGUCCGGAUUUAUUGGGCGUAAAGCGAGUGCAGGCGGUUCAAUAAGUCUGAUGUGAAAGCCUUCGGCUCAACCGGAGAAUUGCAUCAGAAACUGUUGAACUU
Molecule: ribosomal RNA, 644 nt
Filed under: uncultured Escherichia sp.
Lineage: Bacteria; Pseudomonadati; Pseudomonadota; Gammaproteobacteria; Enterobacterales; Enterobacteriaceae
Description: bacterial SSU rRNA
Rfam family: Bacterial small subunit ribosomal RNA
Source: RNAcentral